UAAUACGUAGGGUGCGAGCGUUAAUCGGAAUUACUGGGCGUAAAGCGUGCGCAGGCGGUUAUGCAAGACAGAGGUGAAAUCCCCGGGCUCAACCUGGGAACUGCCUUUGUGACUGCAUGGCUAGAGUACGGUAGAGGGGGAUGGAAUUCCGCGUGUAGCAGUGAAAUGCGUAGAUAUGCGGAGGAACACCGAUGGCGAAGGCAAUCCCCUGGACCUGUACUGACGCUCAUGCACGAAAGCGUGGGGAGCAAACAGG
RNAcentral lists this ribosomal RNA (256 nucleotides) under uncultured bacterium. RNAcentral's name for it is "partial 16S ribosomal RNA". It matches the Rfam family "Bacterial small subunit ribosomal RNA", at positions 521 to 776 of the family's 1533-position model. The record is from RNAcentral.